Molecule: unclassified non-coding RNA, 2251 nt
Filed under: Leishmania donovani
Lineage: Eukaryota; Euglenozoa; Kinetoplastea; Trypanosomatida; Trypanosomatidae
Description: gene:LdHU3.14.0180(CDS-product:histone_acetyltran sferase_putative)
Source: RNAcentral
GUGCGUAGGCGGGUAUAUCUACGCAGUUGUGUUUUUGUGCGUGUGUAUGUGUCCGUGCGGCGUUGUGCGCACGCGCGUCUGCUCACCAUUGGCCUAGAAGGGGCUACAACGCCUGUACCCAGAUUCACAGCGACACGCGCGUACACAUACAGACAGAGGGCACAGGCCCAGUCACAGAGAGAAGCGCUGGAGAAGUGAGGGCCGGCGGGUGAGGGGUCACCCGUCGUUGCUAUUCAUGUCGAGCAGCGCCGUCCCUGCGUACGAGGAGAAGCAAAAGGUUUACGCUCUCCUCAACGGUACCUUCCAUGCGGCGAUUGUGCUGGAGGUAGCAGAAGACGCAACAGAGGGCGGCUUUCUCUACUACGUUCGCUACGUGGAGCAGGACAGCAGGCUGGAUCAAUGGCUGCAGGCGAGCGACAUCAAGGAACGUCACCAGGGCCGCGCACAACAUGGAAGCAGCAGCACCCAUCAGCAGUACACCCCGAGCGGUAUCAAGACGCGGCGGCAGAGCCACGUGACAGAGCAGCAGAAUGCAGAGACGGCAGUGCUGACGGGCGAAGGGGUUGGUAUGUCUACAGAGGUUUCGGCAAACGCGAAAGGCGGCGGCGCCGCCUCGCACUUGGUAAAAGUGUCGAAGACGCGUGCGCGACGCGAUAGCGCGUUUUUCUCACGCACCAAGAACAUCUACUCGAUCUGCAUGGGGCCGCACGAGGUGGAGACGUGGUACUUCAGCCCGUACCACCUCGCCCGCCCAGAGGUGCAGCAGCGACUGCAGGCAGCGUCUCAGUGUGUAACGGGGAGCACCGAGCUGCAGUUGGUUCAAUCCACCACGCCGUCAGGCGGUACUAGUGGUGUGAGCAGUGGUAUCGCCGGCGUUGGUGGUGGCGCUGGUGGCAGCGGGAGUGUGAGCGUAGGGGGGGGUGGGUCAGGCAGAGGGAAUGGUGCCGGUACGCGGCAGUGGCCAAUCGCUACGCGCUCCUUCUCUCUCCACAUAUGCCCCUACUGCCUGCGGCCGUUCCUUGACAACGCAGCGGUAGUGCGGCAUCUCCAGCAAGACUGCCUGCGCCAUCCCCCUGGCAACGAGAUCUACCGCGACCCAGUGCGGCGCCUCGUCGUGUUGGAGCUGGACGGCUCGCUGGAGCCGACCUUCUGUGAGCACCUUGCUCUUCUCUCGAAGCUCUUUCUUGAGCACAAGGCUCUGGACCACGACAUGACGCCCUUCCUGUUCUACGUACUGUGCUCCAUGGAGACGCACGGCCUGCAAGUGUUGGGGUACUUCAGCAAGGAGAAGCAAACCCCCGAGCCGUACAACCUGUCAUGCAUCUUGGUGCUACCGCAGUAUCAGAGCCGCGGCAUUGGUCGAUUCUUGAUCGAGCUCAGCUACGAGCUCUCGCGCCGUGAGGGCAAGGUCGGCACGCCGGAGAAGCCCCUCAGCGACUUGGGUGAGAAACUGUACCUAAGCUACUGGGCCGACUCCGUCACCAUGGCCAUUGCCCGGGCUAUGGAGGAAGGCCACUGCGUCUCUGUGGAUUACCUGGUGCAGGCAACGGCGAUGAUUCAGGCAGAUGUGAUACGAGCCUUACAGCACCAGAAGCUUCUGAACGGGCAUCAGCUGACCAUCUCCGAGGACAUUGUCGAACGGUGCUACACGAAGCGCCUCACCAAGGAACGGGACAUCACGAGCUACACCUUCUACGCGCACUUGCUCAGCUGGGCCCCCGGCUUCUACGAAGAGUUUCGUGGCGUGCCGCCAGCGCCAGCGUUUGUGCCUUGGCGCGACCCAAGAGCGCCCCACUCGCGAACCGGCGGUUGACGAGGGCGCGCGAGGUGCGCGCAAGGAAGCAACCCUGCAACGUUUUCCUCUGAACCAUCAUCCUCCCCCUCCUUUCCCACUCCUCCUUUCUGGCUGCCGCACUCUCCAUGGAGCGGCUCUGAGGAAGAAGUGGGGUGGUGAAGGCCGAGGUUGGAAUUACGAUGACACCGCCUGUCCGCUAGAGGGAGAGAUGAAUGACCGCGAUGACGACAAAUCGAAGGAGUCCGCGCGCAUGUUAGCCUCUCUGGCCGCAGCGGUGUGCCAUGGAGCCAAUCCGUGAAGGAGCCUAGCGAGAAGCUAACGCGACACGUGCGCGUCACAUCUCUCCCUUCAGCCGCGUAUCACGUUGGCCACUAGUCUGCCCCUGCACCAUUCCUCGUGGUAAGAAGCGAAUGAGCAAGAUGUCUCUCCAUGCAGCGCAUGUGCGCGCGGAUGAUG